This 73-nucleotide transfer RNA is filed under the name Candidatus Woesearchaeota archaeon. Its description in RNAcentral is "tRNA-Thr". It matches the Rfam family "tRNA". From Rfam's summary of the family: Transfer RNA (tRNA) molecules are approximately 80 nucleotides in length. Lineage: Archaea; Nanobdellati; Candidatus Woesearchaeota. The record is from RNAcentral.
GCCUCUGUAGCUCAGUGGCUAGAGCAGCAGCCUCGUAAGCUGCCGGUCGCCGGUUCGAAUCCGGCCAGAGGCU